GAUGCUGUGUGAAUGUUUAUUGAACAAGUGUUUAUUGAGCUUCUACUAUGUGUCAGACAUUGUUCUGGAUACUGAGACACAGAGAUAAACAAGAUAGACAAAAACCUCACCUUGUUGGGCUUACAGUCUGAUAGGGAAGGCAGUCAAUAAGCUCUUUGCCAAUUCUCAGGCACUUUACAAAAGCAAUAAAUUAUUUUUCCAUUGAGGAUCUAAUACAAAUAUGGGUCACACUAUGCACUCAUUCAUUCCAUUUAUUUUUCUCAUUUAUUCAUUCAUUCAUUCAAUUAUUCAAGUAAGCACCCAAUAUUACUGGAUACCAAUUAUGUGUCAAGUACCGCUAGGUGAUAGGAAAAGAGAAAUAAUAAGACAGAUUGAAGCCCCACCUGAAUGAGGUUUAUGAUAUAGAAUGGAGAACAGAAAUUAAAUUGAGGAAGUGUUAUAAAUAACAACAGCAAUAUCAAAACAGUAAUGCAAUAAUAAUAGCAGUGACAUCCUCUUGGCUGGUUUGAGUAACAAUUUACAGCUUAUGAAGGAUGCACAGUUAGGGCUUGCUAAGUCAACUUGAGCUGGGUGGAGGUUAUGAGGUCCAGAAGUGAAGGGCAUCUGACACAGGGGCGGUCCUGUGAGCUGUGAGCACAAGAUGAGCUCCGACACCUGAUGGCAUCUUCAUCGUACCCCCAGGUGGUGCUGAGAUGAGGGCCAUGGAAGAUAGAGCCAGCCAAAGGUGUGAGGUUUUUGUGGGCAGACAUUAAUGGCACGGCAGGGGGUUGUCCUAGCAGUCUCACUGAACUUGUGUCAGCUUUCAGGCGCUAUCUGAGAGUGAGUACCUGUUAGUCUUGGCCUGAUGUCAGUCCUUCAGUUUCCUCAUUUGAGAAAUGGAGACAACCCAGGCAUCUACUCCAGGUCAAGGACUCAGGGAAGGAGCGUGAUAUGGUUUGGCCUGCCUGAUCUUUGGGCUCAGCAUGUUCUUGCAGCCGUCCGGCCAGCCCCGCAGGGCCGUUCAUGCUGUCAUCCACUUGCUUUUGCUCGUCCUCGCGCCUAGUCGCCCCUCAUGUCCUGCUCGUUCGGGGCCCCGUGGCCGCUGGCGUCACCCGUCAGGCUCCCUCGGCUACCUCUCCUGGCUCCGGACGGACGGCUCGCCUUGGACUACAUAAACCUCGAUGCAUUAUUUAUCCAUCCCAGAAUUAAUUCCCAUCCAAGCGGACCAUUAAAGCCUCAGUAAUCACUGCUGAUCAAUCACUGGACCAGGGCGGGGCAGUCCCUCC
This 1265-nucleotide long non-coding RNA is filed under the name Homo sapiens (human). RNAcentral describes it as "HSALNT0162461". The record is from RNAcentral. Lineage: Eukaryota; Metazoa; Chordata; Mammalia; Primates; Hominidae.